Molecule: ribosomal RNA, 253 nt
Filed under: uncultured bacterium
Lineage: Bacteria
Description: partial 16S ribosomal RNA
Rfam family: Bacterial small subunit ribosomal RNA
Source: RNAcentral
UACGGGGGGGGCAAGCGUUGUUCGGAAUUACUGGGCGUAAAGGGCUCGUAGGCGGCCAACUAAGUCAGACGUGAAAUCCCUCGGCUUAACCGGGGAACUGCGUCUGAUACUGGAUGGCUUGAGUUUGGGAGAGGGAUGCGGAAUUCCAGGUGUAGCGGUGAAAUGCGUAGAUAUCUGGAGGAACACCGGUGGCGAAGGCGGCAUCCUGGACCAACACUGACGCUGAGGCACGAAAGCUAGGGGAGCAAACAGG